GUGGGGAAUAUUGCACAAUGGGGGGAACCCUGAUGCAGCGACGCCGCGUGAGUGAAGAAGUAUUUCGGUAUGUAAAGCUCUAUCAGCAGGGAAGAAAAUGACGGUACCUGACUAAGAAGCCCCGGCUAACUACGUGCCAGCAGCCGCGGUAAUACGUAGGGGGCAAGCGUUAUCCGGAUUUACUGGGUGUAAAGGGAGCGUAGACGGUUAUGCAAGUCUGAAGUGAAAGCCCGAGGCUCAACCCCGGGACUGCUUUGGAAACUGUAAAACUGGAGUGCAGGAGAGGUAAGCGGAAUUCCUAGUGUAGCGGUGAAAUGCGUAGAUAUUAGGAGGAACACCAGUGGCGAAGGCGGCUUACUGGACUGUAACUGACGUUGAGGCUCGAAGGCGUGGGGAGCAAACAGGA
This 406-nucleotide ribosomal RNA is filed under the name uncultured bacterium. Its description in RNAcentral is "bacterial SSU rRNA". It matches the Rfam family "Bacterial small subunit ribosomal RNA", at positions 354 to 777 of the family's 1533-position model. The record is from RNAcentral.